This 27560-nucleotide long non-coding RNA is filed under the name Zea mays. Its description in RNAcentral is "long non-coding RNA (ZMAY_LNC004473)". Lineage: Eukaryota; Viridiplantae; Streptophyta; Magnoliopsida; Poales; Poaceae. The record is from RNAcentral.
AAUGAUUCCAGAUGAACCAUCGACGUGCUACGUAAAGAGAGUGACGAGUCAUAUACAUUUGGCAAGAAACCAUGAAGCUGCCUACAGCCGUCUCGGUGGCAUAAGAACACAAGAAAUUGUGUUAAUUAAUCAAAGCUAUAAAUAACGCUCGCAUGCCUGUGCACUUCUCCAUCACCACCACUGGGUCUUCAGACCAUUAGCUUUAUCUACUCCAGAGCGCAGAAGAACCCGAUCGACACCAUGAGGGUGUUGCUCGUUGCCCUCGCUCUCCUGGCUCUCGCUGCGAGCGCCACCUCCACGCAUACAAGCGGCGGCUGCGGCUGCCAGCCACCGCCGCCGGUUCAUCUACCGCCGCCGGUGCAUCUGCCACCUCCGGUUCACCUGCCACCUCCGGUGCAUCUCCCACCGCCGGUCCACCUGCCGCCGCCGGUCCACCUGCCACCGCCGGUCCAUGUGCCGCCGCCGGUUCAUCUGCCGCCGCCACCAUGCCACUACCCUACUCAACCGCCCCGGCCUCAGCCUCAUCCCCAGCCACACCCAUGCCCGUGCCAACAGCCGCAUCCAAGCCCGUGCCAGCUGCAGGGAACCUGCGGCGUUGGCAGCACCCCGAUCCUGGGCCAGUGCGUCGAGUUCCUGAGGCAUCAGUGCAGCCCGACGGCGACGCCCUACUGCUCGCCUCAGUGCCAGUCGUUGCGGCAGCAGUGUUGCCAGCAGCUCAGGCAGGUGGAGCCGCAGCACCGGUACCAGGCGAUCUUCGGCUUGGUCCUCCAGUCCAUCCUGCAGCAGCAGCCGCAAAGCGGCCAGGUCGCGGGGCUGUUGGCGGCGCAGAUAGCGCAGCAACUGACGGCGAUGUGCGGCCUGCAGCAGCCGACUCCAUGCCCCUACGCUGCUGCCGGCGGUGUCCCCCACUGAAGAAACUAUGUGCUGUAGUAUAGCCGCUGGCUAGCUAGCUAGUUGAGUCAUUUAGCGGCGAUGAUUGAGUAAUAAUGUGUCACGCAUCACCAUGGGUGGCAGUGUCAGUGUGAGCAAUGACCUGAAUGAACAAUUGAAAUGAAAAGAAAAAAAGUACUCCAUCUGUUCCAAAUUAAAAUUGGUUUUAACCUUUUAAUAGGUUUAUACAAUAAUUGAUAUAUGUUUUCUGUAUAUGUCUAAUUUGUUAUCAUCCAUUUAGAUAUAGACAAAAAAAAUCUAAGAACUAAAACAAAUGCUAAUUUGAAAUGAAGGGAGUAUAUAUUGGGAUAAUGUCGAUGAGAUCCCUCGUAAUAUCACCGACAUCACACGUGUCCAGUUAAUGUAUCAGUGAUACGUGUAUUCACAUUUGUUGCGCGUAGGCGUACCCAACAAUUUUGAUCGACUAUCAGAAAGUCAACGGAAGCGAGUCGACUCAAAAAAAAUGGGUUGUGGAUGAGGCGUUAGGCCCAACUUAUGGCAGUCCGAUAUCCACAAUUCCUGGUCUAUAUAUAGCUUCGCUGCUAUGUCCUUCGCCUCCCUUAGUUAAAGACUCGAAGCUAAGCUUCAUCGUUGUAUCCGUCAGUUUAAUGUAGCAUAUUAAGCACUUUGUGUUGGGUCAACAUCGUCGGAGCUCGAGUACAUAGUGAGUGUGAUUUCAUAGAGUAAAAGAAGAGUGGGAUGAGUAAAAUAAAAGUGGUGUAAGCAAAAUAGAGAGUGAUAGGUGCGAAUGAAUCCAAACAUCUUCUCAACUUAAAGGCCAGCCAUAUUCUAAAAAAUUAAAAAAAUAAAAAAUAUAAUUUGUAGCCUUUAAACGGUUAAAAACUAGCUAACAUGAUAUAUGUAUAUAGAUUAGAAUAUGUCAUGUCGCUAAAGUCAGCAACUAUCGACCUAACCGACCGUCUAACACGUUGGCUCCAACAAUUACCAGCGAUCGGUAUCUAAUUACCUCUUGUUCAACCAUCGCCGGCUCCAACAUAAUGGAUACCGAUCCACCGGUCAGCAAGCCCACCAAUCAACAGGCCAACGUUGACACCGGAUCGCCGAUCCGACCGCAUCAGUCGGUAUCCGGCAACGAUUACUACUAUACAAACAGUCAAUAGGUACAAAUAGGUAAGCGUGUCAUUGGUCUCUUAGAUGGAUCUAACCGUAGAUGCAAUUGUCAUUUGUUAGAGGAAUUUUUAUAAAGCCAUAUGAGAUGCCAGUGGAAGAGUUUAAGUGCUAAAUAUGAUCUACAGUGGACCAAAAACUCGCUUACACACUUGCACCUAAUAGUUGUUUGUAUAGUAAUUGUUGCCAUCGAUAUCUACCGAACAAGUCUAGGUCUAUUUGGUUGGACUGUGACUACGAAAAAAGCUACUAUAAACUGUGAGUUGUUAAAAAGAUAAAAAUUGUUUAGUGGAAACCACUAAAAGUUGCUAAAAAUUCUUCCAUAGUUAUAUCUGAAAGCCGUUAAAAACAUGUUCAGAUGUGAUUUCAGUUUUACACUGCGAGAAAGUCAGCUUAUAGAUAAAGAAAAAAUGAUUAUUAAUUCCAACAGUUUGGUUUGACUUUUGAUUUUUAGAGACAAAAGCCAAUAAAAACAGGUUUAGAGGUGCUUUCAGUUUUACACUGCCAGUAAGUCAACUUCUAGGGAAAGUUGUUUCCUAUAUACAACUGUUUGGUUUGACUUUUUGGAGCAAAAGUCAAAGCCAAAAAUCAAAUCAAACACACACUUGACACUGUUAGAUAUGAUCUCUUAAACAAUAUCCAGCAAUUCACUAUUGACUGCACUAUUUGUAUAUGAUCUCUUAAACCAUAUCCAGCAAUUCACUAUUGACUGCACUAUUUGUAUAGUGGAGUUCGAAUAUGAAGAUAAGUACGAUGACGAAGAUAGUCAUACUCUUAGUUCAAUUAUAUCCAAUGCCCGAUGCAUUACAAUUUGGUCCGCAAGUCACAUGAAAAAGAGAAGCAUUAUUGCGCCAGCAGCUUCAGGGCCUCACACUUCCGUGCUGUUGCAUCAAAUGUUUGAUUGAUCCAGACAAGGGAAACUAAAAACACAAUUGAGAUUAAUAUAAACAAGAAGCUUACACCAGCAUCUAACCAACUACUGUAGGAGCUUGUCUGUGUUAUCAGUUGUUACAUGUUAUAUAAGCCUCAUAAUAACCACUAAAUUAACGAGAUGAUACAUUCGAAUACUACUACAUACCUGGAAGGCCUUGCCCAUCUUUCCAUCAGCCUAUUAUCUACUCUAAUGAUUCUUCCCAUAAACAUGGGACCAAAGGAAAAGAAAAAAAAAACAAGAAAAUUAAGCAUUUCGUGGUACAGAUGCUGUAUUUGAAAAACCGUUAGCUGCUUUUGGUGGUGGUGGCUUCUUCUUGUAGUUUGCUAAGCUACAGUGGGGGCAGAUGUAUUCCAAACCAUCUGUCUUAGCGUAAUCCUGCAAGUAAAGCACAUGAUGGCAUCAAGUAACUGAUUUCCGGCAAGGGUGAGAUCAACACAACCCAUCUUCUUGUUUACCUUGAAAGUGCCUAGUCCUUGUCGUCUGUCGCAACCAAAGUGAGCCCAUUCACCACAUAAACCGCAGUUCACCCAAUCUCCAGGUGCGCUACUGAAAUUACAUAAAAGGAGCUGUUAGAUAUUAACAUGAUAUUAGUAUUUAGGCAGAGAUUUGAAGGAAGAUGCCCUCAAACCUGUGACAAAGUAAGCAGCAUUCGCCAUCCACGUCAUCAUGUGCCAACUCAUAUUCCAACAAGUAUGUCUCGUAAUGUCUUUUCAACGUGUUACCUACACCCUAAAUAUAUACAGAGAAGUGCACAGAAUUAGAACAUCGCAUUUAGCAGGACCAGAAAUCGUAUCAGAAAACUGAAAUAAAUGUCAUACAGUCAUUCUGUUUGUUGCGGUAUGGUUACGCAUCUUUGAAAAAACUUGACCCUUCCAGUUUAUGCCAUUACCCACAUAAAAUCCACCUCUAGACACCACCUAAAAGUAAAGAAAACAUUUAUCAGGAAACAGAUUGAUAGUACAUGUCACUAGACCUUAGUUCUCAUAAGUAAACUAGUGCAAAGAAUUACCUCUUUGUACAGGUUAUAAAGAUCAAGGCGCUUGGCGUUAAGGAUUGCAUCAGGAAAUUCAGCUAGUCCUCCGUGAGGUACAAGUCGAUUGUGGCCCCUCUGGAUUAAAAACUGCAUGACAUCCUUCAAAAAAUCCUCCUACAAAAAAAUGAAAAGAACAGCUCAGUUUCUAAACUGAUUAUGUAUGGAAAACAACCAUAUCAUCAUCAUGACUCAUGGAGGUUAAAGUGUACCUCAGAGCACACUUGGAUAGGCAACCUAUCACAUCCGUGUUUCUUCAUUGGCAGAGGAUUUAACUGAAUGACUGAGGGAGUAUGAGACGGCCCUGAUGUUGAUUUUCUGUGCGUGGUUGUGGCAGAAGAAACUGAAUUGUGCUUCACAGUUGGUGCAGCUGGCAAGCUUGGCUUCACAAUACUAGUUUCGUGAAGGGAAGUUUCAGGAAAACCCAUAAAUGGAUGCAUUUGUUGCUUUCGAGAGUGAGGAAUGGGCCUCAUAGUUGCAGGCUUUAAUUUAGCCUUGACGGCUGACCAUGAGGAAGGCCCUUCCAUCAUAUGCUUCUUGUCUUCCAAAACUCCAUUUGCACCCAACAGAUUUUGUUUUGAUUCUGAACCCACCUUUGUUCUGUCCUUGGUAAGGGAGGCUGACCAUCUUGGAAGAUGAAAAUAUGGACCAUUUUCAUUAGCCAAAUCUUUGCACUGACUUGUGCAAAAGAAUAAUAGACGGUCUGCAUCCCGCCUCUCAAAUGAAGCAACAGGAGUACCAUUUAUACAACCAAUACCAAGUGCAACCAAGCUCCUGUAUGAUAUAUCUGGCGCUAGAUGCUUCAGAACCUAAAAAUUCAAAGAAGAAUGUUAGUUCAAGAUGAACAUUACUGGUUCAAUAUGUAAGGUUAGAAGUGCAUAAGUGGGAAAAAAAUAUUAUACAAGAUCAUAUCAAAGCAGCAUAAAAUUCUAGCAUGAUUGUUAAGGCAGUGAGGCAACCUACGGCGGUCUACAACCUUUUUUCCUUUUAAGCACCUAAGGCACGACGCAAGGCGACUUCAUAGACAUAUAAGGCAAAUAAUAACAAAAAAUGCAUAAGUAAAUAGAUAGACCAUAGAUAUUAUAGGACAUACAAGUCCUAAUACAUAGCAUAGUUUGCAAAAUAACAUAGUUGACAGUUCAUAAGAACUAACAAGUUCACAAUGCAUAGUUCAUAACUUCAUAAACUAACAAAUAGACCUGCUAAUCUGAAAAAUUAUGAAGGGCCAACAACCAGGUUACGAUAGCCCAUGACCUCCACUCGGCACACAGGCCUAAUCCACCACGCCAACAUAUCCCCGUUCAGGCAUCCACCUCGGGUAACCAUAGAACCUAAGCUGCUGAUUUUCUUCCACAUCCCCAGUCAAGCACCUCGGCACAGCGGGCAGGGCGAGCGGAUGGCGCGGCGGGCAGGCAAAGCGCCGGGUGGGUGGCGCAGCGUGGCGGACGGGCACCCCGUUCCUAUGCGUCCACGACAAGCGCUAAGACGUCGCCGUGGACGCCACCGUGGACGCCAUAGACGCCAUAAGCCCAGAUGGUAAGGCGUCCGACCUCCAGCGCCUUAGCGCUUAACAACCACGAAUUCGUGUGAGUGCAUAUUAUAUGCAAACAAUGUCAGAAACAGACCUGUGCUGCCCACUUAGGAAGGGACAUCCAAACUUCAAAGGUAGAAGCCCCACAAGCCGUGGACAUGGAAGUUAAAGGCUCGCUUGAUGGUAACUUGUCCUCACUAUUUGAUAGAGCACGGACUAACUGGCUCUUCUCAAUAAUUUCAUUCUUGAUGUGGCUCUCUAGAAGCUGCACAGACAGGUGAACACCAUGUGACUUUACACAGCAAGACCAAAAAAGUAUCCAAGGUCAAAGGAAUAUAUACCUGGUCAUCAAAACAAGUUUGUGCGCUACCAGAAACGAGGAGUGACACAUGGGAAGAACUGCAAGUACUGAUAUCACAGCGCAUAGUAACCAUCCCACGUGGUAGAGAUGCAGCUUCAAGAGGUGGUGGAGAAGCACUGUCAGACAGAAGGGAACAACAAAUCAGUUUUCUACUUACAAAAACAAUAAUGAUCUAUGCCAAAGGCACAUUGGCAAUAAACAACAAUCUCUGUACAUAUGAAGGCUCCCUCCUUAAUAAAUAAAUGAAGAUCACUUGUUCAUUUUAUUCCCCCCAAUUAUCUCCUUCUAGAAGUACGGUUGAUAUUUUGUUUUCAUGAAUUGAGAAGAAUGAUACACUACAGAGUAAGCAUGAUCAACCAACAUAAUCGUGCAUGAGAACAUGUAAAAAAAUGAUUAGUAAUUCAUGGACUCAUCAAAUGGUUACAAAGGUAAAAAUGUAGAAGGUAAGUAGAACUAAAGAAAUUAGAAAGCAAUCCAAGGUACCUGAUUCGAUUCUGCAGUUUGCUCCCACGAAUCUGUCAAAAAAACAUGAGCUCUUUUAUAGCAAUUCCAGUAUAGGAAAAUAGAAGGUCAUAAAGUUUGUAAUAACUUAAAUAAUCAAUCAUUAAACAUUUGCACCGUUGCUUUAUGUGUCAGCAUUCUUUAAACGAGACAAAAGGAUAGCCAGCUCACAGGUUUAAUCACACCCCAUGCUAGAGAGCAGUUUUUGUGUGCACACAAGGGAAGGGAGGGGGCGUGGAUGUCUGGACUAUCCAUUUUUGUCGGCCCGAACAACCUAAGGGCCUAUUUGUUUGAGCUGCAGCUUUUGGAGCUUCUCUGAAAAGUUGGUAUUGGGGUUUUGGUCCUAAGAAGCCAAUGAUAGAUUUUUUAUGAUGUUAUUAGCUUCCUAAACUCAGGAAGCUACCGAAAGCCCCAAAAAAAGUCUUUUCAGCUUCACAUAUGAACUCAGCAUUUUUGAGAUUUUGGCUUUCCGGACGCUAAAUCAAAAAACUAGUUGUUUGUUAGAGCUUCUGGCUUUUCACGCUGAGAAGCUGCCCAGAAGCUCAAGCAAAAAGGUCCCAGGACAGACUGAGACUAACGGGAACUGAAGUUCCAGUCAUUCAGUACGAAACUUCUCACCAAAUGUCAAUACUUCUGAUGCAGAAUAAAGUAGCUAAUAGUGUCUACACUAUAGCAGCAUAAUUUCUUGCUUUCAUGUACCAUACAAGCAUGAAGACUUCCAUUAAAACAAAUCAAAGCGAUCGCAGGCAACGACCUGGAUGUCGAGGGCACCAGCCUCCAUGGGAGGCAUACAAUUAUCGCCCCACGAUAAUAAGCUAUCUAGAAAUGUGGCGUGAUUAAUAGAAAUAGACAAAGUAAUGAAACAACGGAUAUCGUUGAUGAUAUCCUAGGAUUUUAAGGAUAUCACCAUCGCUGCUGAUCUAGUAUUUCUCUAUAUGCAAGUGUGCUGCACAUCUAGUUCAAUUUUGUUCUAUGAUCCUCACAGAGAACAUCCAUGAUUCAGAGCAUAGAUGUAACAUUGCCAUAUGUCUGAAUUACUAUUACAUACACUAAAAAACAAAAUGUUUUUAAUCAUUUCUAGUGACCAAUGAUUUUCAAAACAACGAGUUUAUUAUAUAAAAAGUAGUUCAGAUAGAAAGGUACUGCAUAGCUAGAAUCUUUCAUUCAUACUUCAAUAUUCAGAAGUGCAUUCAGACCGUCCUCUAAAGAGCCCAAUAAACAAGGAUCCUGUGGGAGAGUAAAAAAGAGAAAUGUUAGUUUGCAUCAGAAUAAUAUAACUAAUCUUUAUUAGACAUAAAUAUUAAAGCUUUUAUUUACCAAGGUGCAUGGCACUCCACAUAAGAGUAAUUUCAUGUUGAUUUCUUCAUCAUAUAUUUUUAUAGCCGGGGUCACUUCAGAUGAACCUUCUUCAUCAACCAUUUCUGUCUCAGGUGGGCUUAUAUUUAUUUUUGGAGCAUCCCCAAGGAGACGCGGACCAAGCUUAACACUUUGCACAUGAUUGUUUCUUACACAAUAUAGACGGAAGGAUGCAUGAGCAAGCUGAAAAGCAUCCCAAGUAUGGCUCACUGAACUGUAUCCAACCAGAAACACAUUUAUUAUAAAUAACUGUUUCAUUUAGAUCGAACUGGAAGAGGGAGGGUGAAUGAAUACCUUUGAAUUGCUGACAUCAACGCAUGGCGAAAAUGAGAUGCUGCAUAAGACGAGAAUGAAUUUCUCCAGUAUAUUACAUAUGGGAUCCCCUGAAAUAAAUUAAUAUUAGUAUUAGUAAAAUUCCCAAUUCCAAAACAAUAAAAUUGGCUGCCUAACACUUAAAGCAAUAUAAAGUAAGAACAUUACAUAUAACAGUUGGUUUUGAUAUAGAGGGAAAACAGUUCAAUAGAUUUGUACAAAUAAGCUAACACGUAAGGCCAUGUUUGGAUCUCAUUUUCAUAUUCUAGAUAGUAACGUAGAAUCUGGAUUUUAGAUAAAAAAAAUGAGGGGUGUUUGGAUCUCGGAUUAUUAUUUUUUUCAUAGUGAGAAUCUCCAACUAGCAGGGUUUUGGGUACGUAGUUAGAUUCUAGUAAUCUCAUUAUAGAAUCUGAGUGUUUGAAUCUAAUUCUCAUUUUUAAGAGAUCCAAACAGGGCCUAACAACAGCAUGAAUUUGUUGCUGAACUAGGAGAAGCAGACAAAAAUGAACAAUCCGAAGAAAAUAUAGCUACUUUUCUAUGCAGCCAUCUCCAAGAAAACAUGAUCUAGUGUGCAAAUAGUAAUACUCUGGUUAUUUGAAGAGAUGCAGUUACUGGACAGGGAAACUAUCUACCUUUGAGUGAACUGCUUGAGCAAGUUUUUCACCAAUAGGAACUUCCAGAUAUACCUGUAUUCAGAGUAUGGUUAUCGGCAAUUGUAAAAGUGUUAAAGAGUUGGACCCAUGUGGCAGUACAGUCAAGAUAUUCCAUAUGCAUUCCUAAAUGAAGCAAAACUCUUUUGUAGGAACAUUGCUUUCCGUAUAAAUUUACAUGAUCUAAACAGAACAUUUUAUGUAUAAGAUAGGAUACAUGGGACAGUCAGGUACUCUUUUUUGUAUUGAGCUAUUCAGAACUGGAUUCAGCGCUAGUACUUAACCUAUUCAAGUAGUUGCUUCAUUUGUAACAUAUAAGACGAGACAAUCACUAAACAAACACACUAGCAUAGAGACUUCAGGUUCAUACAAUAGAAUUUAACAAAACAUCAUAUGUUGUUGUACAAGUAAUCCCAAUGUUCAUAUCGUGAUGCAGCUAGAAACUGAUGCUGAUAUCACAUCCUGGUAUUUGUGGUUUAAUUAGCAGCUAAAUGCACUGCAAGCUAGCAUAUUGACUAACAAGUAAUACAGCAUUUAGCCAUUUACACACACUAUAGUAGAGCUUACUAUUGUUGGGAAUGGUGGGCUGAUAAGAGUGCUAAAUGCCUGCGGAUCAGAGACAUCGGCGUCCCCCCAUACAAGUGAGCCAAUCUCCUUCUCAUCCUCGAGCUGCUGGCCCUGGAUGUACAAGAAGUUAGGUUGCACCACCCGCUGCGCCUCGAGGAACUGCUCUGGUGUAGGAUUGAACAGGGUGUGGACCUGCAUUCAGAAGCCCCUUCAUUCAGCUAACAAAGAAAGGCGAGAAACAGCAAUGAACGCACUCAAGCAAGGAGCACACAGUUGACCUCCAAUCGCCCAGCCGAGCUGAGCUCCGGGAACGGGUAAGCCGGCCGCGGCCGCUUCGCCUCCAGCCCAGACCUCGCUGCUGGUGUGCGGUUCUCAGCAUACUUCCCACACAGCACCGCGAGGAGCGCACAGUUGUUCCUCGAGAAGCUUUGGAUUUGAGACAUGACUGGCCGGCCGGAGCCUUCCCGACGGCAGCCAAGCAGGAGAAAAACCUCCCCUCGAAAUCAACCCCACUUCUUCAUGCACCAAACCCUGCGACACAAAAACUGGAUCAGGAAUCCCCCAAAAUCCGACCAAAUCCGCAGCGAAACCCACGAAUAUGAGCGGGCGGCCUUACCAAGACGCGAUUUUGCGGCGUAAUCGGCGGCGGCACGGCCUCAAUCGACGGCCGGACGCGACCGGGAAGGGGGUGGAUUCGGUGCGGGUGAAUGGGGAAAACAGAGGGUAAAGUGCGCGAGAACACACGGAGCCCUAGAAGACGAUUCGCGGAAAUAGCUACUGCAACAACGCGAAAGCAAAUCCCAGUGCGGAGGCAAUAAAAAAGAGGAGUCGUGCUUGUGGUGGUGGCGAAUCGGCCCACGCCCCCAUCACGAUCCAGACAAACACACACGGCGCAAUCCACAGGGGGGGAGAGGCGGAAAAAAAUCUCUCUCCAAGAACCGGUACAAGAACUGAAGCGGGAUUAACCGGAGACGGCGACCACGGGGAUCGGGCGGGCGGGCCUCAUUAGCAGCGGCAACCAACCAACUGGCAACAAUCCCGCACGCAUCACAGAGGCAGAAACUUUGGAACAGUCUCGGCUCGACCAGGGAGGCGUCAAGAUUGGAUUUUUGACGAUGUGUGGGGAGGCCAGUCCGGAGAUUCUCGCGGACUUUUCCUCCUCGGAUUUUCGCCCUGCCCGCCUGCCUGCUCACAUGCUCGCAAUCACACGCAUCGCUCAGCUUGAUGAGUUGAUGUGUGCCUGCUCUCUGCGGGUGCUGGUGUGUUGUUUUCCCUGCGCUUUUUCGUUUUCUCCUUUUCCUCCUCCGCUUCAUUACUGCUGCAAGCCGGGGGACGGACGGAGGAAAAACGCGGAUUAAAAGAUUAGGAAUUUCGGGAGCAGGAUUGGUGAGGGGGCGAAAUAAUCUCUUUCUGGGAGAAUUGUUUUUGCCGGGAUCGGAAUAUCGGAUGCUGCGACUGCUUUUGGUGUGCAUGUAUGUGUUCGGUUGGUGUUGGUGCAGAUCGAUUCGGUGUGGCCUGUGGACUUGUGGUGUGGUGUAGGGGUUGUGAUCGGGGAUCCGGCUUGGCGCUGGCGCGGUUCGAGACUGCAGGGUGCCAGAGUUGUUGUGCGUCGGAAUUCGGAUGCGUGCAUCGGGUACCGCAGCUCGCGGUCGCGGCGGCUACAUGGAUAAUGGAUGUGCAAAAUAAUUUGUUUACUAUCUCUAUCAGCAGGGAGGGAGGGACUAAUAUGGUCCUAAGGCAUCUGGUUUUUUUAGAACUUUGUUUCGGUUUUUUAUUUUAAAACACUUCGGUUCUCGAGACAUCAGAAACUGAUCGAUUUUAUAGAAAAUGAAAAAUCGAGGAGUUUGGUUUCGGUUUUUCAGUAAAAACUGAAUACUAAACUAAUACUCAACACAACACAUAAAAUAAGUUUAUAUGAUAGAUUACAUAUAACUUUAAAAAAUAAAAAUUAUAUAUGUACAAAUAUUUAAAGAUACAUCAUACAUCACAUAAAAAUAAGUGAAUAACAAUUUCAUUGCAUCACACAUUUAGUUCACAUAAUCGAAUGGUCAAAUUUUAGAAAUGAUAAAGUUUGGUAUUUCGGUUCGGUAUACGGUGAAAAUCGAUUACGAUACCGAAAACGAACCAAACUACUGAAAAUACCGAAAUUUCGGUUCGAUUUUCGAUUUAUGGUAAAAAAAAUGUGUCCACCCUUAUAUGGCCCGGUAUUGUUUGGCCAAUAUAUAUCCUAUCCCUAGCGCAACGCAAACAACAUACUCCUCUCACCUCCCACCCACCCACCCAACCCCCGUCCGCGCAGGCGUAGAUGCACUCCUCCAACUGUGUCCUUCGCCACUACUCGCUGGUGCCUAUGAUCGGCUGUCAUUGCCCACCUAGCCCUAAUCGCGAGGUCGCGACCUUGCCGGUGCUCGCUGGUGACUCGUAGCUGGUGCUUCAUACCCGCGCCCCGCGACGCCUACAUGUACCUCAUGCCCCAUCGCCCAUCGAUGCCCCUUACAACUGUGUCCGUCGAAGUCCGGACACCGAUCGGACGGUACCAGUUGGCUAUAACCACCCAACCAUUAGGUGGCCAAAGGCUCCUUCGCCAUACGCGGCUGCGCCGGUGCCUAUAGUUGGCCAAACGGGCGGCGUGGCCCAACACGCCCUAGCACGGUUAGGUAAUCGGGUCGUGCCGAGCCGGCCCACGUGCCAAAGCCACGGGGCAAGCACGACACGGUAGCCCACUAACUAUGUCGAGCCGGGUCAUUUGCAUUGUGUACCUAUUGAAUAAAUGGUGUAAAUAGGUAAAAAAAGGAUAUGGAGGGGCUUGAACCGUGUCCACCCAGCUACGAACACAAGGCGUGCUCUGCUAGCCAGUACGCCCUACUGCUCGCUAGUGCCUGUGACCGUGGGGCGUCAUUGCCCACCAAGCCCUAGCCCUAAUCGUGAGUUCAUGACCUUGCUGGUGCUCGCUGGUGACUUGUAGCUGAUGCUUCAUGCCCGCGGCGGUGACGCCUACAUGUGCCUCAUGGUCGUCGCCCACUGGUGCCCCUUAGAGCAUCUCCAACAUAUCCUAAAAAUAUAUCUCCCAAUAAACAUGAAUUGGGAUGUCCUUAAAACGCACGUAGCAGCAGUAGCCGUGUGGUGGGUAUCGGUGAUUCCCGCGGUGCCUCCCUCUGCCCUAUGAUUCCCCUCCCGCUGUCGUCGUUCACGACCAACCCGCUGGUGGACCUCUGCACGCUGACGGCGAACCCCGCUGUCGCAUCGUCGGGAUAUACCUUCGAGCUCAUAGUUAGGUAAUUAGGUCGUGUCGAGCCAGCCCGUGCCAAAGCCGCGGCUCAAGCAUGACACAACAACCCACUAACCAUGUCGGGUCGGCCCGUUUACACUACGUACCUAUUGAAUAAAUGGUGUAAAUAGGUAAAAAGGGACAUGGAGGGGGCCUCAAACCGUGCCCCGCCCAGCUAUGACCACAAGGUGUGCUGUGCUAGCCAGUACGGCCCUUGUUGAUCGGUGUCAUAUUGAAGAUAGGUUUCGUAUAUAUAUGUAUAGCAAUAAUUCUAAAAUAAAAAAUAUAAUCGGGUCGGGCCGGUCCGACACUGUGUGCCGAGGAUGCGGGCCAAGCACGGCACGGCUCUCGUGACGAGCCAACAUAGGCCCAUUUUCUAUGUGUCGGGUCAUGCUUGAACACUAUUAAAUGGGUCGUGCCUCGGGCCAGCCCACCAGGCAUGGUCCAUUUAGCCAUCUAUAAUGGUGCCCGCUUGUCCGGUGGUGUAGGGGUGCCAUAUGAGGAUGCUGGAGUUCGUAAACUUGGCUUCAAUAUGUUUGAUGAUUAAUCGUCUCCUUCCUCGUUGAGAUGUCCAAUGUCGGUGGUAAUCAGCCCAAGGAACAAUUUGUUGUCUGGCUUGAAUGAGUAGUCACCAACAAAGGGUGUCACGGUUCCCAUUAUUCUUUAAGAAUAAUUCAACUAGCAAAUUUUUGUAGUACAACCAAAGUCAACUAGCAAAAUUUGUGUUGUGUUGUAUUAGCAACAUCUUGAUUUUGCUCCGUCCUCCGCCACUGUCUAGCAGCCUCCCUAUCCUAUCCCUAUCUUACUCUCUAUUUCAAAUUUUAGUCUAUAAAUAGUGCAAUAUACAUUGCAAACAGUGUUUUACACGCCCACACACACGCUUUGUUUGCUGUCUUCGGUGGAUCGUGGAAACUAUGGGCACAGAACUAUAGAUGGCACUAUUUACAAAGUGGAGAUUGAAAUGUGGGAUGAGAUAGGGGGUGAGGUAGGGGAUCUGCUAACUCCUUGUCUCACCUUCUAUCUCACUUUAUAGUUUAAACUUCACUCUAUGAACAAUAUGAUAUAUAGUGCUAAUACAAAAUAGUAUUUUACACAUCCAUAUACACGCUCUGCUAGAGAUGGCCAUAUAGAGUAUAGUUUGAAAUAAAGAAUAAGAUAAACGGUUUGAUAGAGAGGUGUCGAAGUUUCAAACCAACACCGACAAGUGAAUUUGUGUAUGCGUGUUCUAGAUCUGGAUGGUGUAUUCAGUGGACGCAAGAUUUAUACUGGUUCAGGCAGAACAUCCCUACUUCCAAUCUUCGGUGGCUCGCGCUACCGGCACCUUGUUGUUGAUUACUCGUAAUAGGGAUUACAAGCGGGCGAGAGAGGGAAGGAUCCCAAGUUUCUAUGUGAUAUUGGUUCUAAGGGACUACCUAUCGACUAUCUGGCUCAGUCGUCGAGUAUCGUUGCUCUGCGUUCUCCCUUUUGGGUUGGGCCGACCCUCCUCCUUUUAUAGACUAGAGGGUACCAGUUACAAAUGGUCUCUCGUGGAAAGAAUUGUUGUGUCGUGGUACAAUGAGGCGUUCUACCCUCGGUAGAAAUUCGUUAGUCGGUAUUCACUCUCGUCGUCUGAGCUCUCUGGUCAUGCUCCUUUAAGUCAGUUGGGAUGACGUAUAUGAGCGAGAGGGACCCAAGCGUCAUCAUUACUCCUCCUGUUCCAUGGCGAUCCCUGGCCUUCGUAGCUUGAGCCUUGGCACUCCUCGUCGUGUUGUGGGCUCCGCAGACCAUCACGGAACUUAGGCCUAGGGCUCGAUACGCUAUGAGUGAGCCGCAGGUCUACAAUACAUAGGUCAUGAGUGGGGCUCUGGCCUGGGUGCACAGGUCAUGAGUGGAAUGAGGUACGACUCUCUACUGCGAUGAGGCGCUAGGCAUAUUUAAUGCAGUCAAUCAAUAAUGACGAGGGCACUCUGUGGGUUAGAUACAAGAUCCACUCAAGUGGCCUCCUUACAGUUCGCCUGACCCCUCCCUCUAGCCCCAGGGUCUUUUAGUGUCACACCCGGAUUUAAGGACAAAUUCAUAUACUUCUCACAUGUGUGCCAGGUUUAAGUCUCACACAUGAUUACUCAAGGUAUAGGAAUCAAUGUCACAUAUUUAUUAUAUAAUAGGAGUUUUUAUACAAAAUAAAUAAUUAAAAUACACUAUAUGACGACAACGAUCCUCCACAACCAUAGCUGACUGGAAGACGAUGGCCUUGACCUCUCCAAACUCUUCAUGGAGAUCCUCCUCUUGGCGGUACCUGCUCUUGACCUGGCAUGGUUAUAGCAAGGGUGAGAUCCCAUAAGGUCGUCGCACAACAAGUAUGAGUAAAAGGUAUAGUGUAAGGCUUACGAAGGAAUGUGGUUGAGGCUGAGCAUUGCUUUUAAUUUUGUUGGUCAAAAUUUUAUUAGCAGAUACUAAGUAUAAGUGAAUACCAACCCAAUUAAAUAAAUAAUCAAUAUCAAAAUCCCACAAUGCAAAUGCAUGUCAAAUUAAUUUAAUUCCAUCAUUUACUCAUGUGAGUGCCUGAGUCGCUCUUGACUGUGAGCACGACUGAUAUACUAGUUUUACACUCUGCAAAAAUUGUGCAUCUUUACCCACAAGUCGUGACACCCAUCUGUCACGGAGUCAUGAAUCCCAUACACCUCUUCCGAGGAGGCGAGACAAGGUUUCACUAUGAGGCUUUUACAAAGUUACACUAGCACGAAAAAAUCCGCUAUGAAAUCAAGUACAAGGAAGCAUAUGCCUUUUUCACGGUCUGUAACACGUCGUAGUAAUUAGAGCCAGCACUAUGCUUGCACGACUCACUUCCCGCUUGCCCCUCUCGGGUAAGGAUUCUCACACACUAGCUUUCUUAAUUAAUUGGCCAAGGGCGUCCUAUUCCACCCAUGUGAUAGCACUGUUUUCCUGGGGUGGUUCUCCAUGUUCCAAUUAACAAAGUGAUCUUAUCAUGAACAAUAAUUAAGCCAACAAUAAUAGUAAAGCAUGAUCAUGAUUCAUGUGUAGUAUUAAAUCCAAAAUCAAGUAGAGCAAUAACAAGUAUAUCCAAUAAUUCAUUUAUAUGCAAUGUGUAGGGUAAACAAAACUAUGUAACCUAUUAGGUUGCCCAACAAUUUAACCUAACUGUGCAGCGGUGAGGAUAGAAUCAUAAAUAUUGUUAGGUCAAAGAAUGUGAUUAAGGACACAACUCGCCUUUUACUUGCAAUAACCCGCUGAUCAUAAUUUUCAAACAUGUCGAGCUUCAGAUCCACGUACACUUGCCCGUCUAAUCGCAACAAUACAAAUAAACAGGCAAAUAAUAAUUAAAAAUAACAUUACACCAAACAUGAAAACAAACCGCGUGACAAUAUUUUACUCGUUGAUAUGAAUCCGUAGGUUCGAGAACUACUAAAUCGAAGUUAUAACGGAGAAGAUAUACAUUUUAUAAGAUUCUAGGCUAUUUAAUAUAAUUUUAUGUUUUAAAAUAACUUUCACAUAUUUUAUACGAUUUCCAGUUUAUUUUAUAUAUUUAUCUUAAAAAAGAUAGUGGUUCCUAAUAUUUUGAAGCUUGAGGUCGUUUCUAUAAACUUUAGGACCGAUUGGUGAAGGCAACGGGCCACGACCCCACCUCAAUUUUUAUAAUCUCUUAUACCGAGACUUAGAUAUACAAUGAAAUAAAUAAAUUUUUAUAUAGUAGGUCAGACUAAAUUUAACGAAAACUAGGAUUUGAUCUAACUUUUUUGGCGCUCUACUACUCAGCCCACUCCCCACCCGAGUCAUUUGAUUAUCUUCCCUAUCGCAAGCCCACCCAGGACUCGCUAGCUCCUUGGACCAUCGAGUGACCGGUUCAGUGACCUAACUGUAACGCCCUGAAUUUGGGGGUAGAUUUUUUUUCUUCUUUUUACUCACCAAAUUCAGGCGUUACUCUCUUUCCUUUUCUCGUUUCACUCCUUCUUCCCAAUUUCAAAGCAAUAUAGUAACGGGUGUCCGUGUCAUGUGUAAACAAAACCUAAGUGUCAUGGGUGUUGCAUCAUGCUGAAGCAUUUUUUCUUUGUUGGAUGUCGUGGUUAGUCGCGUGUUCGUCCCGUUUCGGAUUUCGGUUCGCGAUCGGAUUCCGAUUGGUGGUCGUGCGUGUCGUAGGUUUUGGCCCGCGGUGUGGCCCAGCCCGGCCCGGUCCGGCCCAGUCCGGCCCGCGCGCCCCUGCCUUAUGCGCGCACCCCUGGUCUCUUCCUCUCAUUUGAUUUCUCCCGCGCAGCAACCUCCCUCUCCCUCUCCCACCUCUCUCUCUCCCCCCGUGGUGCCCUAGGGUUUGGAGAUGGUGAUCACCGGAGUUUGGAUCCCCAAGGUGAGUUUCUCCUUCCCUCUCCCUCUCCCUCUCUCUAUCCCUCCCCCUCCCUCUCUCCCUCCCCUGCCCGCGCGCCCUCCCCUGCCCUGGCCACACGCCCUCCCGCGCCGCGCGCCCUCCCCUCCCCCGUCGCGCCCCCUCCCCGGUGAGCCCCUCCCCCGCCGCGCCCCCUCCCCGGCGAGCCCGCCCCGUCGCGCCCCCUCCCCACCUCGGCCCCACCCCAUCAUGCCCCCUCCCCGGCGAGCCCGGCCCUCGCGCCCUGGCCGUGCGCCGGUGGCCGCGCCCCAUGCCCCGCGCCCUAGCCGCGCUCGGCUACGCCCUGGCCGCGUGCCCCUGCCCGAGCCCGUGCCCCGGCAGCCUUGCGCCCCGCGCGCCUGCAUGGUUCGCAUGCCCUCGGCACGCGCAGCGUGCUCUCGCGCGUGCGACCGUAGUCGCGCAGUGUUCAACUCUCGUCUUAAUCCAUUUUAAUUUUAGUUUAGUCGAUGUGCUGCGUCGCGCGCUUCGCUGCGUGACGGUUCAUUCUAAAUUCGUCUUUAUUAAUGUGCUGCGUCGCGCGCUUUGUCGCGCGAUGGUUUAUUUUAAAUUUAUAUUUAUUAAGGCGCUACGUCGCGCGCUUCGUCGCGCGACGAUUCGUUUUAAAUGCAGUUCUAUUGACGUAAGCUGUCGUGCGUUUCGUCGCGCAACGCUUAACGUUUAUCCAUAAUUAAUGCAAGAUUCUCGUUGCGCGCUCUGUCGCGCGGCGAGUCGUUUAUUUCUUAAUUCAAUUUAAAUGUCGUGUCGCGCGUCUCGUCGUGCGACCACUCUCUUUCAUUCAUCUUUACCUAAUUAUAAUGAUUAAAUGUGGAACAUGACCUUACUUUAUGCUAAACGCAAUGGCCAAAGUAAUAUCCUUCUGUUUAAAUGAGUAGUUUUAUCUAUAAUUGUGUAACGUGAUCGCUUCUCGACCGUAGGCUCGACCGUCAGUUCCUCUUUCUCGCUUAACCGUAAUUGUGAGCCCCGCGUUGAAUGUCUAUUUGAUUAUUGCAUUUCAUUGUAUGGUGUACUAUUCUUUUGUAUUAAAUGUGUGGAAUGUAUGUUUGAACUCGUAUAGAGAAUGAUCUGGUUGAGGAGCCCGAAGAACUCGCAGGAGAAGCCCCUGAGCAGCAGCUGGUUGGUGGAGGCAAGUGUUCCUUGACCUAUCUUUGUCCCAUACAUUAUAUAAUUCACUUCCCGCAUUUACACAGUUAUACCUAAGGAUUGAGUAGCUUUUGUUAUCCAUGUCCUUGUUUACCUAUUUAGGUUGGAUUAUUAUGGUUUAGCUUUAUGCUAGUGCUUAACAUUAAUCAACGAACAUGAUGAGAUUUAUCUAUGAUAUGUUGUUUUCCUUCUUAUUUAUGAUGAUAUACUUGUGGCAUUCAAGGGGGCUCGAGCGAUUUCUCGAGUGCCUCUCCGUAAGGACCUGUUCGUUGGAUGACCGCCCGGGAAAACAGUGCAACCAUGAGGGUGGAAUGGGACGCCCUUAGCUGAAUAAUUAGAGGAACCGGGAUGUAGUUCGCUUCGUCGUUGUGCCGUUAAUGGGGCUCGGUGUAUGCGGCUCGCUCUGCCAAGGUUGGUUUGCCCCUUGGGGAGGAGUGCGGUACAUUUAGGAAACCUAACGAGCGGCUACAGCCCUGGGAAAUCUUUGUAAAGGCUACGUAGUGAUACCCUGCUGGGUCACCUUGGUAGUGAUCAAUGGAGAGUCAUGAUCUCCGGGCAGAAAAUGAAUCACAGCUUAUGGCUAAACUGCGCAACCUCUGCAGAGUGUUUGAAAACUGAUAUAUCAGUCGUGCUCGCGGUUAUGAGCGGCCAAGGGAGCUCCAGCGAUUAGUGAUACUUGAUCAGAGAUGUUCGGAUUACAGGUGGCAAUGAGAAUGAUGGUUUUGGUAUUGACUCUGGUGAUGGUAAGUGGUAUUCUUUCCAUUUGGAAAGGGUACGUUUGGGUUAAUAACGUGGGUUAAUACUAAAACUUGACUCUCUUUACUAGUAAUAAUAAUCUGACUAACUAAAAGCAACUGCUUGACUUACCCCCCACAUAAAGCUAGUCCACUACAGCCCAACAGGACACUUGCUGAGUAUGUUGAUGUGUACUUGAAAGAGAAAUAGGAUCAAAACUUUUCCCAUAUGAAUUUUGGUGGUUGAAUUGCCCAACACAAAUUAUUGGACUAACUAGUUUGCUCUAGAUUAUGAGUUCUACAGGUGCCAAAGGUUCACAACAAACCAAUACAAAGUCAAAAGAAAGGGUUCAAAACUGCGAGCACCUAGAGGGGGGGUGAAUAGGUGAUCCUGUAAAACUUGAAACUUAAGCCACAAAAACUUGGUUAAGCGUUAGCACAAUAAUCGCCAAGUGGCUAGAGAGGAGUCUCAACAAAAGACAAUAACCACAAGAGAUCAAUCACAGAGAUAGCACAGUGGUUUAUCCCGUGGUUCGGCCAAGACCAACGCUUGCCUACUCCACGUUGUGGCGUCCCAACGGACGAGGGUUGCAAUCAACCCCUCUCAAGCGGUCCAAAGACCCACUUGAAUACCACGGUGUUUUGCUUUGCUUUUCUUUAUCCCGUUCGCGAGGAAUCUCCACAACUUGGAGUCUCUCGCCCUUACACUUGAAGUUCACAAAGAAGCACGGAGUAAGGGAGGGAUGAGCAACGCACACAAGACACAAAAUCACAAACAACACGCACACAAGUUGCAACAAGAGCUCGCAACACAACCCGACGAGUUCACAACUCAACUAGAGCUCUAGAUGCUAUCACGAAGAAACAAAUAUGUGGAAUCGAAGUCUUGGUGCUUAGGAAUGCUUUGAGUAUGCUUGAUGUGCUCCUCCAUACGCCUAGGGGUCCCUUUUAUAGCCCCAAGGCAGCUAGGAGCCGUUGAGAGCAUUCCAGGAAGGCUGAUCUUGCCUUCUGUCACCUGGCGCACCGGACAGUCCAGUGCACCACCGGACACUGUCCGGUGCGGAUUUGUUUCCUUAUUUGGCGAAGCCGACCGUUGCAGAUUGAGAGCCGUUGGCACACCGGACACUGUCCGGUGCACACCGAACAGUCCGGUGCACCAAUGUGACCGUUGGCUCGGCCACGCAUCACGCACGGAAUCCUCGGCCGACCGUUGCCCCGGCUGACCAUUGGCUCACCGGACAGUCCGGUGCACCACCGGACAGUCCGGUGAAUUUUAGCCGUACGCCGUUAAACAACUCCCGAGAGCGACGAGUUCGCCUGUGAACGGCUCACCGGACAGUCCGGUGCACCACCGGACAGUCCGGUGAAUUAUAACCGUACACCGCCGUCGAAGUCCCGAGAGCAGCAAGUUCGCCCGAGUCAGCCUGGCACACCGGACACUGUCCGGUGCACCACCGGACAGUCCGGUGCACUCAGACCGAGCUGACUUUGGCUGAACAUAGCCAUCUCUUUUCCAAUUUGAUUUUUCCUGUUUCCAGCACUUAGACACAAUACAUUAGUCCAUAAAACAAUGUACUAAGUCUAGAAACAUACCUUUUGACAUGAUUUGCACUUUGUCCACCACUUUGCAUAGAUUAACACAAAAGCACUUGUGUUGGCACUCAAUCACCAAAAUACUUAGAAAUGGCCCAAGGGCACAUUUCCCUUUCAAUCUCCCCCUUUUUGGUGAUUUAUGCCAACACAACAAAAAGCAACUAGAACAAGUGCAAUAUCAAUGCAAAUGAACACUCAAAAUUGUUUUGAUUCAAUUUUGGCAUAUAUGGAUCACUAUUUGCCACCACUUGGUUUGUUUUUGCAAAUCAACCUCAAAUUUCUAUCUCUAAGUCAAACACACUUGUUAAGACAUAAAGAGAGUCGUUCUAAGAGAAAUUGAUUCAAGAUUUCAAAAACUCCCCCUUUUUCCCAUAAUCACUUAUUCUCCCCACAAGAGGCCAUCUUUUAACAAAAGAGACAAUAAAAGAGUUUUGACAAACCAAAAGCUCUAUACUACUAUUUUCAAAAUUUCUCAAGUGGUAGCUGAUCCAUUUAUUGCUUUGGCUUUAUUUUCUCCCCCUUUGGCAUCAAGCACCAAAACGGGAUCAAUCUUGGCCCUUUAACCCCAUUGCCUCACCAAAAUCUCCAAAUAAGAAUACAAAGGCAAUAGGAGUACAUGAGAUGAACUUGGAAUAAGUUACCCUCUCAUCGGAGUGCAGUGGAAGUCUUUCAUGGUCCAAGUCCACCUUUUCCCUUUCAAACCUCCUUUGAGACUAAAACAAGCAAACUCAAGCACACGGUUAGUCUCAAAGUGUCAAGUUGUAGCACAUCUCCCCCUAAAUAUGUGCAUCACUUGCAAACGGACUUGUGAGGUCCGGGGAGUGUUUGUACAACUUGAGCACCACAAGUAAAUUACAAAAUGCAUAAGGAACAUGAUUGUCGGCGUUUCGAGACCGGGGGGGUCCCUGAGCCGACGAGUGAAGUGUCGCCGCGUGCCCCAGCCUAGAUGGGUCGACGCGAGGCCGAGCGUGAAGGGGGGAAGUGAGGUGGCCAGAGAUGGGCGUGAGAGAGGUGGAAAUCCCGCGGCCUUCGUGUUCGUCCCGCGCCCAGGUCGGGUGCGCUUGCAGUAGGGGGUUACAAGCGUCCACACGGGGGAAGGAGCGAGCGGCCUUCACGCGAGCGCCCGUCUCGUCCUCGUCCCCGUGCGACCAACCCUCUCUAAGAGGGCCCUGGUCCUUCCUUUUAUAGGCGUAAGGAGAGGGUCCAGGUGUACAACGGGGGUGUAGCAGAGUGCUACGUGUCUAGCGGAGGAGAGCUGGCGCCCUAAGUACACGCCAUCGUGGCAACCGGAGAGAUUUUGGCGCCCGGUUUGUGUGAUGUUGUGGCCGUCGGAGGAGCGCUGGAGCCUGGCGGAGGGACAGCUGUCGGGGCCGUCGAGUUCUUGCUGACGUCCUCUUGCUUCCGUAAGGGGGCCGAGAGCCGCCAUCGGCAGGGAGCGUGCGGGCCGCCAUCAUCGCCUAUCUGGCGGAGCGAGCCAGAUGGGACGCCGGUCUUGUUCCCCGUAGCCUGAGUCAGCUUGGAGUAGGGUAAUGAUGGCACCUCCUGUUGACAUGGCCGGUCCGCGCCCUAGGUUGGGCGAGGUGGAGGCUCCUCCGAGGUUGAGGUCGAGUCCGUCUUCCGUGGCCGAGGCCGAGUCCGAGCCCCUAGGUCGGGCGAGGCGGAGGCUGUUGGCUGAGGCCAGGGCGGAAUUUGAGUCCUGGGGUCGGGUGAAGCAGAGUUCGUCGUCUUCUGGGGCUGAGCCCAAGUCCGAGCCCUGGGUUGGGCGGAGCGGAGUUCGCCGUCUUCCGGGGCUGAGCCCAAGUCCGAGCCCUGGGUCGGGCGGAGCGGAGUUCGCCGUCUUCCGGGGCUUAGCCCGAGUCCGAGCCCUGGGUCGGGCAGAGCGGAGUUCGCCGUCUUCCGGGGCUGAGCCCGAGUCCGAGCCCUAGGUCGGGCGGAGCGGAGUUCGCCGUCUUCCGGGGCUUAGCCCGAGUCCGAGCCCUGGGUCAGGCAGAGCGGAGUUCGCCGUCUUCCGGGGCUUAGCCCGAGUCCGAGCCCUGGGUCGAGCGGAGCGGAGUUUCCUAUGGUGCGGGCGACCGGGCCUGACUGCCUGUCAGCCUCACUCUGUCAAGUGGCACCGCAGUCGGAGCGGCGCAGGCGGCACUGUCUUUCUGUCAGACCGGUCAGUGGAGCGGCGAAGUGACGGCGGUCACUUCAGCUCUGUCAGCUGAGGGGCGCGCGUCAGGAUAAAGGUGUCAGGCCACCUUUGCAUUAAAUGCUCCUGCGAUUUGGUCGGGGUUGCUUCUUGGCGAAGACAGGGCCUCGGGCGAGCCGGGAACGUGUUCGCCGCUGGAGGGGGGCCUCGGGCGAGGCGGAGAUCCUCCGGGGUCGGCUGCCCUUGUCCGAGGCUAGGCUCGGGCGAGGCGUGAUCGAGUCCCUCGAAUGGACUGAUCCCUGACUUGAUCGCACCCAUCAGGCCUUUGCAGCUUUAUGCUGAUGGGGGUUACCAGCUGAGAAUUAGGAGCCUUGAGGGUACCCCUAAUUAUGGCCCCCGACAGUAGCCCCCGAGCCUCAAAGGGAGUGUUAGCACUCGCUUGGAGGCUUUCGUCGCACUUUUUUGCAAGGGGACCAGCCUUUCUCGGUUGCGUUUUGUUCCGGUGGGUGCGCGCGAGCGCACCCGCCGGGUGUAGCCCCCGAAGCCUCGGAGGAGUGGUUUGACUCCUCCGAGGUCUUAAUGCCUCGCGCAAUGCUUCGGCUGGUCUGGUCGUUCCCUCAUGCGAGCUGGCCGUAGCCCGGGUGUAUGGUCGGGACCCAAGUUCUCGGGCUAGUAUGUUGACGCUAUCAACGGUUUGGCCGGAGCCGGGUUUGCGAGAGCAGCCCCCGAGCCUCUGCACAGGGCGAGAGGGCGAUCAGGGACAGACUCGACUUUUUUACAUACGCCCCUGCGUCGCCUUUCCGCAAGGAGGAGGGGGGGAGAGCGCCAUGUUGCCCUCGGUGGGCGCCGAACAUGGUGUCUCCGGUGAGCUGCAGGCGGGUGAUCCGAGCGGACGUCCGUGCCCCAUUCGUUAGGGGUCGGCUAGAGGCCCAAAGGCGCGCCCAAAAGUACCUGCGGGUGAUCUGCCGGACCUAGUCCCCUGGCGACGGGGUCCGAGGGCUCGAUGCCUCCCUCUGAUGGGAUUCCGUUACAAGAUCGUUCCCGUUGGUCUCGGAAAUGUCCUAGGGUACCUCGGGAGCGCAGCCCGAGCCUUGGUUAUGUAUCGAACGUACCCAUGGUCAUCCCUCGCUCUGUGUCUGAGGCGGUUGUGAACCCUUCGGGGGUGAAAGUCGCCUAGAGGGGGGGUGAAUAGGGCGAAACUGAAAUUUACAAAUAUAAACACAACUACAAGCCGGGUUAGCGUUAGAAAUAUAAACGAGUCCGCGAGAGAGGGAGCAAAACAAAUCGCAAGCAAAUGAAGAGUGUGACACGCGGAUUUGUUUUACCGAGGUUCGGUUCUUGCAAACCUACUCCCCGUUGAGGAGGCCACAAAGGUCGGGUCUCUUUCAACCCUUCCCUCUCUCAAACGGUCCCUCGGACCGAGUGAGCUUUCUCUUCUCAAUCACUUGGAACACAAAGUUCCCACAAGGACCACCACAAAUUUGGUGUCUCUUGCCUCAGUUACAAAUGAGUUUGAUCGCAAGAAAGAAUGAGAAAGAAAGCACGAUUGCAAAAAGCCAAGCGACAAGAGCGACAAAUAACACACGGAUCACUUUCUCUCUCAAGUCACUAAUCACUAAUGAUCUCUUUUCUCAAUUGUGAAACUUGGAGAGAUGGAGGCUUUGAAUGUGUCUUGGAAUGGAUUGCUAGCUCUUGUAUUGAAUGUUGAAGGUUGGAAUGCUUGGAUGUAUUGAAUGGAGGUGGUUGGGGUUGUAUUUAUAGCCACCAACCACUUCCUAGCCGUUGGGCCAUUCUGCUGAGCGCGGACGGUCCGCCCUCCUGGUGCGGACGGUCCGCCCCUGUAGAUCAACGGCUGAAAAUGCAACGGUCAGCAGUAACGGCUAUAUCAACGGCUAUAUUGCAUUUAAUGCGUUGUCAGAUGUCAGACAGAGCCAGUCGCGGACGGUCCGGUCGUGUACCCCGGACGGUCCGCGAGGCCCCCUAUAAUUCAUUUCUCUGAACCCGUUACCUUCGGGUUUUCAGUUUCUUACCGACCGGACGGUCCGCGCCUGAGGCCGGACGGUCCGCACGAGGGCUCGGACGGUCUUGCUUUUCCUCCGGACAGUCUGUAGUGGAAACUUGUGUUUUUGCAUUGGUUCUGCCCGAAGGGUAUCCCGGUGUCGCGGACGGUCCGCCGCAAGGGCCCGGACGGUCCGCGCUUGGCCUGUUUUUCCAAAAAACUUCUCCUGUCCGGAAUAAUCUACGGUAUUCCGGACAGUCGAUUUAGUAUAGUUAUAGAUGAACCUUUGGCACCUGUAGAACAUAUAAUCUAGAGCAAACUAGUUAGUCCAAUUGUUUGUGUUGGGCGAUUCAACCACCAAAACAAUUUAGGAACUAGGUGUAAGCCUAAUUCCCUUUCAAUCUCCCCCUUUUUGGUGAUUGAUGCCAACACAAACCAAAGCAAAUAUAAAAAUGCAUAAUUGAACUAGUUUGCAUAAUGUGAGUGCAAAGGUUGCUUGGAAUUGAGCCAAUAUAAAUACUUUACCAGAUAUGCAUGGAUUGUUUCUUUCUUAUUUAACAUUUUGGACCACGCUUGCACCACAUGUUUUGUUUUUGCAAACUCUUUUGUAAAUUCUUUUCAAAGUUCUUUUGCAAAUAGUCAAGGGUAAAUGAGUAAGAUUUUGCAAAGCAUUUUCAAGAUUUGAAAUUUUCUCCCCCUGUUUCGAAUGCUUUUCCUUUGACUAAACAAAACUCCCCCUAAAUGAAAUCAUCCUCUUAGUGUUCAAGAGGGUUUUGAUGAUUCAAAUUGAAAUACUAUUUUCUCCCCUUUUUGGACACAAUAGGAUAUCAAUUGAAAAAUACUCUUGGAAAACACUAAGUUUUUGAAAUUGGUGGGGUGGUGCGGUCCUUUUGCUUUGGGCUCAUAAUCUCUCCCCCUUUGGCAUGAAUCGCCAAAAACGGAAUCAUUAGAGCCCUUUGAAGUGCUUUACUUCCCCUUUGGUCACAAAUAAAUGAGUUAAGAUUAUACCACAGAUGAAGUCCUUUUGCUUUGAAUUCUCCCCUAAAGAUGGAGAGAAGCUUGGAGCGACGGCGAAGGGUGAGUUACGGAGUGGAAGCCUUUGUCUUUGCCGAAGACUCCAAUUCCAUUUCAAUACACCUAUGACUUGGUUUGAAAUAGACUUGAAAACACAUUAGUCAUAGCAUAUAAAAGAGAUAUGAUCAAAAGUAUAUAAAUGAGCUAUGUGUGCAAUCUAGCAAAAGAAGUUGCGUGAAUCAAGAAUAUUGAGCUCAUGCCUAAGUUUGGUAAAAGUUUGUUCAUCAAGAGGCUUGGUAAAGAUAUCGGCUAAUUGAUCUUUAGUGUUAAUGUAAGAAAUCUCGAUAUCCCCCUUUUGUUGGUGAUCCCUAAGAAAAUGAUACCAGAUGGCUAUGUGUUUAGUGCGGCUAUGCUCGACAGGAUUGUCGGCCAUUUUGAUUGCACUCUCAUUAUCACAUAGUAAAGGGACUUUGGUUAAUUUGUAACCGUAGUCCCGCAGGGUUUGCCUCAUCCAAAGUAGUUGCGCGCAACAAUGACCUGCGGCAAUGUACUCGGCUUCGGCGGUGGAAAGAGCGACCGAAUUUUGCUUCUUUGAAGCCCAAGACACCAAAGACCUUCCCAAGAACUGGCAAGUCCCCGAUGUGCUCUUUCUAUUGAUUUUGCACCCCGCCCAAUCGGCAUCCGAAUAACCAAUCAAAUCUAAUGUGGAUCCUCGAGGGUACCAAAGCCCAAACUUAGGAGUAUAAGCCAAAUAUCUCAAGAUUCGUUUUACGGCCGUAAGGUGGGAUUCCUUAGGGUCGGAUUGGAAUCUUGCACACAUGCAAACGGAAAGCAUAAUGUCCGGUCGUGAUGCACAUAAAUAAAGUAAUGAUCCUAUCAUCGACCGGUAUACCUUUUGAUCCACGGACUUACCUCCCGUGUCGAGGUCGAGAUGCCCAUUGGUUCCCAUGGGUGUCUUGAUGGGUUUGGCAUCCUUCAUUCCAAACUUGGUUAGAAUGUCUUGAGUGUACUUCGUUUGGCUAAUGAAGGUGCCCUCUUGGAGUUGCUUGACUUGGAAUCCUAGAAAAUACUUCAACUCCCCCAUCAUAGACAUCUCGAAUUUCUGUGUCAUGAUCCUACUAAAUUCUUCACAAGUAGAUUCGUUAGUAGACCCAAAUAUGAUAUCAUCAACAUAGAUUUGGCAUACAAACAAAUCAUUGUCAAGAGUUUUAGUGAAUAAAGUAGGAUCGGCCUUGCCGACUUUGAAGCCAUUAGCAAUAAGAAAAUCUCUAAGGCAUUCAUACCAUGCUCUUGGGGCUUGCUUGAGCCCAUAAAGCGCCUUAGAGAGCUUAUAGACAUGGUUAGGGUACUCACUAUCUUCAAAGCCGGGAGGUUGCUCAACAUAGACCUCUUCCUUGAUAGGUCCAUUGAGGAAGGCACUUUUCACGUCCAUUUGAUAAAGCUUAAAACCAUGGUAAGUAGCAUAGGCCAAUAAUAUGCGAAUUGACUCAAGCCUAGCUACGGGUGCAUAGGUUUCACCGAAAUCCAAACCUUCGACUUGAGAGUAUCCCUUGGCCACAAGUCGAGCUUUGUUCCUUGUCACCACACCAUGCUCAUCUUGCUUGUUGCGGAAGACCCAUUUGGUUCCUACAACAUUUUGGUUAGGACGUGGAACUAAAUGCCAUACCUCAUUCCUAGUGAAGUUGUUGAGCUCCUCUUGCAUUGCCACCACCCAAUCCGAAUCUUGAAGUGCUUCCUCUACCCUGUGUGGCUCAAUAGAGGAAACAAAAGAGUAAUGCUCACAAAAAUGUGCAACACGAGAUCUAGUGGUUACCCCCUUAUGAAUGUCGCCGAGGAUGGUGUCGACGGGGUGAUCUCGUUGAAUUGCUUGGUGGACUCUUGGGUGUGGCGGCCUUUGUUCCUCAUCCUCCUUGUCUUCCUCAUUCACAUCUCCCCCUUGAUCAUUGCCAUAGUCUUGAGGUGGCUCAUUUGCUUGAUCUUCUACUUCAUCAACUUGAGCCUCAUCC